This 253-nucleotide ribosomal RNA is filed under the name uncultured bacterium. Its description in RNAcentral is "partial 16S ribosomal RNA". It matches the Rfam family "Bacterial small subunit ribosomal RNA", at positions 524 to 776 of the family's 1533-position model. The record is from RNAcentral.
UACGAAGGGGGCUAGCGUUGCUCGGAAUCACUGGGCGUAAAGGGUGCGUAGGCGGGUUUUUAAGUCAGGGGUGAAAUCCUGGAGCUCAACUCCAGAACUGCCUUUGAUACUGAAGAUCUUGAGUCCGGGAGAGGUGAGUGGAACUGCGAGUGUAGAGGUGAAAUUCGUAGAUAUUCGCAAGAACACCAGUGGCGAAGGCGGCUCACUGGCCCGGUACUGACGCUGAGGCACGAAAGCGUGGGGAGCAAACAAG